UGAUUCACAGUUUGAACAAAUAAUCCAAUACCGAGGUCAAAAAUAGAAAUCGUUCUUACAUUUUUCUCCGAUGGAAACAAACAUAAAUCACAAGGCAUUUGAUAGCUAUGGUAUUGGAAGUCAACUUUCCAUGGUUCGAUUACCUUAGGCAAUGAUAUAGAAUGGUGUUCACCGGGGUCAAAGACAAAAUUUUCUCUUGCCAUUUCAAUUUGAU
Molecule: long non-coding RNA, 214 nt
Filed under: Gossypium raimondii (Peruvian cotton)
Lineage: Eukaryota; Viridiplantae; Streptophyta; Magnoliopsida; Malvales; Malvaceae
Description: long non-coding RNA (GRAI_LNC010475)
Source: RNAcentral